CCUACGGGCGGCAGCAGUGGGGAAUAUUGCACAAUGGGCGGAACCCUGAUCCAGCGACGCCGCGUGAGUGAAGAAGUAUCUCGGGAUGUAAAGCUCUUUUAUCAGGGAAGAAGAAAGACGGUACCUGACUAAGAAGCCCCGGCCAACUACGUGCCAGCAGCCGCGGGAAUACGUAGGGGGCAAGCGUUAUCCGGAUUUACUGGGUGUAAAGGGAGCGUAGACGGGGGGGCAAGUCUGGAGUGAAAGGCAGGGGCCCAACCCCUGGACUGCACUGGAAACUGUCCGGCUGGAGUGCAGGAGAGGUAAGUGGAAUGCCUGGUGUAGCGGUGAAAUGCGUAGAUAUUAGGAGGAACACCAGUGGCGAAGGCGGCUUGCUGGACUGUAACUGACGUUGAGGCUCGAAAGCGUGGGGAGCAAACAGGAUUAGAUACCCCAGUAGUC
This 441-nucleotide ribosomal RNA is filed under the name uncultured bacterium. RNAcentral describes it as "partial 16S ribosomal RNA". It matches the Rfam family "Bacterial small subunit ribosomal RNA", at positions 338 to 795 of the family's 1533-position model. The record is from RNAcentral.